RNAcentral lists this ribosomal RNA (465 nucleotides) under Nitrosomonas sp. enrichment culture. RNAcentral's name for it is "bacterial SSU rRNA". It matches the Rfam family "Bacterial small subunit ribosomal RNA", at positions 198 to 644 of the family's 1533-position model. The record is from RNAcentral. Lineage: Bacteria; Pseudomonadati; Pseudomonadota; Betaproteobacteria; Nitrosomonadales; Nitrosomonadaceae.
GGAGGAAAGUAGGGGAUCGCAAGACCUUGCGCUAGAGGAGCGGCCGAUGUCUGAUUAGCUAGUUGGUGGGGUAAAGGCUUACCAAGGCAACGAUCAGUAGUUGGUCUGAGAGGACGGCCAACCACACUGGGACUGAGACACGGCCCAGACUCCUACGGGAGGCAGCAGUGGGGAAUUUUGGACAAUGGGCGAAAGCCUGAUCCAGCCAUGCCGCGUGAGUGAAGAAGGCCUUCGGGUUGUAAAGCUCUUUUAGUCGGAAAGAAAGAGUUGCAAUGAAUAAUUGUGAUUUAUGACGGUACCGACAGAAAAAGCACCGGCUAACUACGUGCCAGCAGCCGCGGUAAUACGUAGGGUGCGAGCGUUAAUCGGAAUUACUGGGCGUAAAGGGUGCGCAGGCGGUCUUGCAAGUCAGAUGUGAAAGCCCCGGGCUUAACCUGGGAAUUGCGUUUGAAACUACAAGGCUAG